RNAcentral lists this long non-coding RNA (1559 nucleotides) under Hordeum vulgare. Its description in RNAcentral is "long non-coding RNA (HVUL_LNC003287)". The record is from RNAcentral. Lineage: Eukaryota; Viridiplantae; Streptophyta; Magnoliopsida; Poales; Poaceae.
CCACGCCUAAGCCACUCGGAGGGCUUCAGGAAGAUAAUCUUCCCCACCUCCCGAUUUAGCUUCGGGUUCCGGUUAAAUUCGAGCAUGUGAAUGCAUCCCCGCAGCCCAGACUCAGCCAACAUACUCCUAGAGGAACCACCGUUCUAACCCGCGCUUCAAUUUGGAGUUUGCAGGCUUCUCCGAUGAGAUCCACGUGCACCCGAAAGCGCCGCCCAUCGGAGUUGGAGCUGCCAUCGACGAGGUUCUCUCCGACGACUGCCUCCACCUCCAUCAGCUGUGGAAUCGCCUAGUGAGUGCGCCCAUGUCCUUUCCUCCCUCUGAUUUUCUGCACGACGCCUCCGACGACACCACGAGCCCGUGGAGCGGGCGAGGUGGUUAGAAACCACACAAUGCAGGCCCACUAUCAGGAAUCUGUUUUUAUCGAAUCUUUUUCUAAAUUGUAUCCCCCCUGAGUACUCUUUCCCCUCUGGCUGGCGUAGUUUCAAUAGUGAGCUUUCUGUUUUAUCAGUCAGCCCCCUCGGCUAGUUUCUGUUUUUAUGGAUUAGCCUCUAAACUCAAUUCCUUUAUAACUUUUAAACUACAAGGGCUUUUUAGUUGAUUCUUUUUGCUAAAUUUUUCUUUUGAUGUCUAGUUUAUUUUGAUAUUUAUUCAAAAAUAUUUUAAGACAAUAUUUUGGAUUGUGGUAUUUACGAUAGAACUGAUGUAUGUAACGUAGAUACAGAAGGGGAAGACGUCGCAGUCAACUUACCCAGCUCGACCCCGACUUCGUUGACCCAGGCAAGUGCUUCUGUGAUAACAGACCUUCCCCUGCAACGACACCAGAAGAAUGCUGCUAGCACUCCCCGGCAGCGAAACUAGAAGAAUGUUGUUGAUGGCCACCAACGCGUGGGUUCGCGGCAGUUUUCGAGGGUAGAGUAUUCGACCCAAAUUUGUUGAUUUGCCAGGCAGGAGGUGAGAGGAUACUCUCGAGUAUUAGCAGCUAAAUGUAUCAGAUUCAACCGCACCUAAAAGAUUAGUAUUUGCAAGCAAAGUAGUAACAGCAAAGUAAUAUGAUAACAAUGGUGUCAGAAACGAUCUGUUGAUAAGGCAGACUAUUUCUAACGGUCGUAUCAAUGGCGCCAGAAGUUGCCCGUUGACAGAAAUUGUCUGUUCCCGUCAACGACGAGCGAACCAGAAUUGUAGAAGGUAGCAGUAGUGUAAUGAGUAAUAGCAGUGACAAGGAACAACAGUAGUGACAGCAGUAGCAAGUAGCAACAGUAGCAAGCGACAGUAGUAACAACAGUAGCAGCAGAGCAAGACAAGUAACAGCAGUAGCAGCAGAGCAAGACAAGUAACAGCAGUAGUGGGACAAACUCGUAGACAAUAGGUCGGUGAUUUGUUUGAAUGAUAUUCAUCAUGCAACAGUUAUAACACGGAGAGAUAUGUGGCUAGCUCCUGUUCAUCAAUGUGAUGUAGGCAUACAUUCCGUGUGUAGUCAUACGUGCUUAGGGGAAAAAACUUGCAUGACAUCUAUUGUCCAUCCCUCCUGUGGCAACGGGGUUCAAAAGGAUACUACAUGA